Molecule: ribosomal RNA, 253 nt
Filed under: uncultured prokaryote
Description: partial 16S ribosomal RNA
Rfam family: Bacterial small subunit ribosomal RNA
Source: RNAcentral
UACGGGGGGGGCAAGCGUUGUUCGGAAUUACUGGGCGUAAAGGGCUCGUAGGCGGCCAACUAAGUCAGACGUGAAAUCCCUCGGCUUAACCGGGGAACUGCGUCUGAUACUGGAUGGCUUGAGUAUGGGAGAGGAUGAGGGAAUUCCUGGUGUAGCGGUGAAAUGCGUAGAUAUCAGGAGGAACACCGGUGGCGAAAGCGCUCAUCUGGCCCAAUACUGACGCUGAGGCGCGAAAGCUAGGGGAGCAAACGGG